This 206-nucleotide ribosomal RNA is filed under the name uncultured bacterium. Its description in RNAcentral is "partial 16S ribosomal RNA". It matches the Rfam family "Bacterial small subunit ribosomal RNA", at positions 568 to 774 of the family's 1533-position model. The record is from RNAcentral.
CUCGUAGGUGGCCAACUAAGUCAGACGUGAAAUCCCUCGGCUUAACCGGGGAACUGCGUCUGAUACUGGAUGGCUUGAGUUCGGGAGAGGGAUGCGGAAUUCCAGGUGUAGCGGUGAAAUGCGUAGAUAUCUGGAGGAACACCGGUGGCGAAGGCGGCAUCCUGGACCGACACUGACACUGAGGAGCGAAAGCCAGGGAGCAAACG